Molecule: ribosomal RNA, 438 nt
Filed under: uncultured Planctomycetota bacterium
Lineage: Bacteria; Pseudomonadati; Planctomycetota
Description: bacterial SSU rRNA
Rfam family: Bacterial small subunit ribosomal RNA
Source: RNAcentral
GGGUCAAUGUCCUAUCAGCUAGUUGGUAAGGUAAUGGCUUACCAAGGCUAAGACGGGUAGCCGGCCUGAGAGGGUGGUCGGCCACACUGGGACUGAGACACUGCCCAGACUCCUACGGGAGGCUGCAGUCGAGAAUCUUUCGCAAUGCCCGAAAGGGUGACGAAGCGACGCCGCGUGUGGGAAGAAGGCCUUCGGGUUGUAAACCACUGUCGGGAGUUAAGAAAUGUAAGGGUGUUAAUAGCAUCCUUACUUGACUAAGGCUCCGGAGGAAGCCACGGCUAACUCUGUGCCAGCAGCCGCGGUAAUACAGAGGCGGCAAGCGUUGUUCGGAAUUAUUGGGCGUAAAGAGCACGUAGGCGGCUUUGUAAGUCAGUUGUGAAAGCCUUCCGCUUAACGGAAGAACAGCAUCUGAUGCUGCAAGGCUAGAGUGCGGAAGGG